This 497-nucleotide ribosomal RNA is filed under the name uncultured bacterium. RNAcentral describes it as "partial 16S ribosomal RNA". It matches the Rfam family "Bacterial small subunit ribosomal RNA", at positions 28 to 507 of the family's 1533-position model. The record is from RNAcentral.
GAUGAACGCUGGCGGCGUGCCUAAUACAUGCAAGUCGAGCGAACAGAUGAGGAGCUUGCUCCUCUGACGUUAGCGGCGGACGGGUGAGUAACACGUGGAUAACCUACCUAUAAGACUGGGAUAACUUCGGGAAACCGGAGCUAAUACCGGAUAAUAUAUUGAACCGCAUGGUUCAAUAGUGAAAGACGGUUUUGCUGUCACUUAUAGAUGGAUCCGCGCCGCAUUAGCUAGUUGGUAAGGUAACGGCUUACCAAGGCAACGAUGCGUAGCCGACCUGAGAGCGUGAUCGGCCACACUGGAACUGAGACACGGUCCAGACUCCUACGGGAAGCAGCAGUAGGGAAUCUUCCGCAAUGGGCGAAAGCCUGACGGAGCAACGCCGCGUGAGUGAUGAAGGUCUUCGGAUCGUAAAACUCUGUUAUUAGGGAAGAACAAAUGUGUAAGUAACUAUGCACGUCUUGACGGUACCUAAUCAGAAAGCCACGGCUAACUACGUG